Molecule: transfer RNA, 77 nt
Filed under: Herpetosiphonaceae bacterium
Lineage: Bacteria; Bacillati; Chloroflexota; Chloroflexia; Herpetosiphonales; Herpetosiphonaceae
Description: tRNA-Arg
Rfam family: tRNA
About the family: Transfer RNA (tRNA) molecules are approximately 80 nucleotides in length.
Source: RNAcentral
GCGGGCGUAGCUCAGUUGGAUAGAGCAGCGGCCUUCUAAGCCGUAGGUCGUGGGUUCGAGUCCCGCCGCCCGCGCCA